GACGAACGCUGGCGGCGUGCUUAACACAUGCAAGUCGAGCGAUGAAGCUCCUUCGGGAGUGGAUUAGCGGCGGACGGGUGUGUAACACGUGGGUAACCUGCCUCAUAGAGGGGAAUAGCCUUCCGAAAGGAAGAUUAAUACCGCAUAAGAUUGUAGUACCGCAUGGUAUAGCAAUUAAAGGAGCAAUCCGCUAUGAGAUGGACCCGCGUCGCAUUAGCUAGUUGGUGAGGUAACGGCUCACCAAGGCGACGAUGCGUAGCCGACCUGAGAGGGUGAUCGGCCACAUUGGGACUGAGACACGGCCCAGACUCCUACGGGAGGCAGCAGUGGGGAAUAUUGCACAAUGGGGGAAACCCUGAUGCAGCAACGCCGCGUGAGUGAUGACGGUCUUCGGAUUGUAAAGCUCUGUCUUCAGGGACGAUAAUGACGGUACCUGAGGAGGAAGCCACGGCUAACUACGUGCCAGCCGCCGCCGUAA
This 478-nucleotide ribosomal RNA is filed under the name uncultured bacterium. Its description in RNAcentral is "partial 16S ribosomal RNA". It matches the Rfam family "Bacterial small subunit ribosomal RNA", at positions 28 to 523 of the family's 1533-position model. The record is from RNAcentral.